This 607-nucleotide ribosomal RNA is filed under the name uncultured bacterium. RNAcentral describes it as "bacterial SSU rRNA". It matches the Rfam family "Bacterial small subunit ribosomal RNA", at positions 338 to 944 of the family's 1533-position model. The record is from RNAcentral.
CCUACGGGAGGCAGCAGUGAGGAAUAUUGGACAAUGGGCGCAAGCCUGAUCCAGCCAUGCCGCGUGCAGGAAGAAGCAUCUAUGGUGUGUAAACUGCUUUUGUACGGGAAGAAACACUCCUUCGUGAAGGAGCUUGACGGUACCGUAAGAAUAAGGAUCGGCUAACUCCGUGCCAGCAGCCGCGGUAAUACGGAGGAUCCAAGCGUUAUCCGGAAUCAUUGGGUUUAAAGGGUCCGUAGGCGGUUUAAUAAGUCAGUGGUGAAAUCUGGUCGCUUAACGAUCAAACGGCCAUUGAUACUGUUAGACUUGAAUUAUUUGGAAGUAACUAGAAUAUGUAGUGUAGCGGUGAAAUGCUUAGAUAUUACAUGGAAUACCAAUUGCGAAGGCAGGUUACUACAAAUGGAUUGACGCUGAUGGACGAAAGCGUGGGGAGCGAACAGGAUUAGAUACCCUGGUAGUCCACGCCGUAAACGAUGGAUACUAGCUGUUGGGAGUAAUCUCAGUGGCUAAGCGAAAGUGAUAAGUAUCCCACCUGGGGAGUACGAACGCAAGUUUGAAACUCAAAUGAGUAGAGCGUGAGAGNGCGAGACGACGACGAGGGAGGAGG